AUAUUUUGGUGGAAAUUAUAAAAUUUAGAAAAAUAAGGGAAAUUAGAGAUGAGAAGGGUAAAAGUGGAAUAACCAAAAUAGUGGAAUUAGGUUUAAAUUUAAAAAGAAAAGUGUGAGGGUUGAGGGAGUUUACUGAUACGUAGAAGUUGUAUUGAGAAAAAAAGGAAAUAGGCAAAGUGAGAAAAAGGAAGAACAAUGG
Molecule: long non-coding RNA, 199 nt
Filed under: Lathyrus oleraceus (garden pea)
Lineage: Eukaryota; Viridiplantae; Streptophyta; Magnoliopsida; Fabales; Fabaceae
Description: Pisum sativum (pea) long non-coding RNA (PSAT_LNC035397)
Source: RNAcentral